UACGUAGGGGGCAAGCGUUGUCCGGAAUCAUUGGGCGUAAAGAGCGCGUAGGCGGUCCGGUAAGUCCGCUCUGAAAGUCCGGGGCUCAACCCCGGGAGGCGGGCGGAUACUGUCGGGCUAGAGUCCGGAAGAGGCGAGUGGAAUUCCUGGUGUAGCGGUGAAAUGCGCAGAUAUCAGGAGGAACACCAAUGGCGAAGGCAGCUCACUGGGACGGUAUUGACGCUGAGACGCGAAAGCGUGGGGAGCAAACAGG
Molecule: ribosomal RNA, 253 nt
Filed under: uncultured bacterium
Lineage: Bacteria
Description: partial 16S ribosomal RNA
Rfam family: Bacterial small subunit ribosomal RNA
Source: RNAcentral